CGCAACUUGCGCUUUCUGGUAUUCCGGAAAGCAUGCCUGUUUGAGUGUCAUGAAAUCUCAACCAUUAGGGUUUCUUAAUGGCUUGGAUUUGGAGGUUGCCAGUCUAACUGGCUCCUCUUAAAAGAGUUAGCAAGUUGAACUAUUGCUAUCUGGCGUAAUAAGUUUCGCUGGAAUGGCAUUGUGAAGCGUGCUUCUAAUCGUCUUCGGACAAUUUUUUGACUCUGGCCUCAAAUCAGGUAGGACUACCCGCUGAACUUAA
This 259-nucleotide unclassified non-coding RNA is filed under the name Apiotrichum veenhuisii. Its description in RNAcentral is "partial contains 5.8S ribosomal RNA, internal transcribed spacer 2, and large subunit ribosomal RNA". The record is from RNAcentral. Lineage: Eukaryota; Fungi; Basidiomycota; Tremellomycetes; Trichosporonales; Trichosporonaceae.